AAUAAAUACAACAACAAAUAAGAUAACGAG
Molecule: non-coding RNA, 30 nt
Filed under: Trypanosoma vivax
Lineage: Eukaryota; Euglenozoa; Kinetoplastea; Trypanosomatida; Trypanosomatidae
Source: RNAcentral